AGCAAUGCUCCAGUGGCGCAAGGGUGAGGAACACGUGAACAACCUGGCCUUCGAGUUGGGGAUAGCUUCUGGAAACGGGAGAUAAUACCGAAUAACAGUCAUUUUGGUACGCAUGACCGAAUGAUCAAAGCAGCAAUGCGCUUGAAGAGGGGUUCGCGUCCAUUAGCUAGUUGGUGAGGUAACGGCCACCAAGGCGAUGAUGGGUAGCUGGUCUGAGAGGACGAUCAGCCACAUUGGGACUGAGAUACCGCCCAGACUCCUACGGGAGGCUGCAGUCGAGAAUUUUGGGCAAUGGACGAAAGUCUGAACCCCCAGCAAUGCCGCGUGCGGGAUGAAGGUCUUCGGAUUGUAAACCGCUGUCAAGAGGGACGAAAUAUGACGGUACCUCUGGAGGAAGCCACGGCUAACUACGUGCCAGCCGCCGC
RNAcentral lists this ribosomal RNA (425 nucleotides) under uncultured bacterium. Its description in RNAcentral is "bacterial SSU rRNA". It matches the Rfam family "Bacterial small subunit ribosomal RNA", at positions 83 to 518 of the family's 1533-position model. The record is from RNAcentral.